GUUCAUACUAUGAACGUAGUAUAAUGGCGGUCGGGCAAGUAUGCCCCCAUCGUCUAGUGGUUCAGGACAUCUC
RNAcentral lists this transfer RNA (73 nucleotides) under Teyleria tetragona. RNAcentral describes it as "tRNA-Glu". Lineage: Eukaryota; Viridiplantae; Streptophyta; Magnoliopsida; Fabales; Fabaceae. The record is from RNAcentral.